GUUUCAUCCCACAUGGGCACGAAACAUACCACAUUUUACGGAGGAUGUAGCCCCAGAGAAGAGGGAGGUGGAGAAGCAUAAAUGAAAGGCACCUUUUCCUUCCUCUAGAAGAUGCACAGAGAAUUUCUGACCUUGUGACGUUUGGGAGUGAGGAGAUCCCAUACAGAGGCAUCCAGGUAUUUCCAGAGAUCCUGUGGCAGGUGAGGUCUGCCCUCGCUGGAGCCAACUCGUCUAUAAUAUCUUCCUAACAGCAGAACCUGGGUCUCACUCUGUCCCCUAGGCUGGAAUGCAGUGGUGUGAUCAUGGCCCACUGCAGCCUUGAACUCCUGGACCCAAGCAAUCCUCCCAUCUCAGCCUCCCAAGUAGCUGGAACUACAGGUACGGGAAAACUGGCUUAGAGAUGUUAAAUAUCCUGGAUUAUUGUCAGUUUAACAAAAUAAUUUCGGCUAUCAAAGAUCAAGUGGGAUAAAUUUCAGAGGAAGAAACUGAGCUCCUUGCAUACCAUAGAGGAGAGGUCGAGGUCCUUCCACUGAAGCACCAAGUGG
RNAcentral lists this long non-coding RNA (545 nucleotides) under Homo sapiens (human). RNAcentral's name for it is "non-protein coding FOXG1-AS1:13". Lineage: Eukaryota; Metazoa; Chordata; Mammalia; Primates; Hominidae. The record is from RNAcentral.